GAUGAACGCUGACAGAAUGCUUAACACAUGCAAGUCAACUUGAAUUUUGGUUUUUAACUUAGGUUUGGGUGGCGGACGGGUGAGUAACGCGUAAAGAACUUGCCUCACAGCUAGGGACAACAUUUGGAAACGAAUGCUAAUACCUAAUAUUAUGAUAAUAGGGCAUCCUAUAAUUAUGAAAGCUAUAAGCGCUGUGAGAGAGCUUUGCGUCCCAUUAGCUAGUUGGAGAGGUAACGGCUCACCAAGGCGAUGAUGGGUAGCCGGCCUGAGAGGGUGAUCGGCCACAAGGGGACUGAGACACGGCCCUUACUCCUACGGGAGGCAACAGUGGGGAAUAUUGGACAAUGGACCGAGAGUCUGAUACAGCAAUUCUGUGUGCACGAUGAAGUUUUUCGGAAUGUAAAGUGCUUUCAGUUGGGAAGAAACAAAUGACGGUACCAACAGAAGAAGUGACGGCUAAAUACGUG
RNAcentral lists this ribosomal RNA (467 nucleotides) under uncultured bacterium. RNAcentral's name for it is "partial 16S ribosomal RNA". It matches the Rfam family "Bacterial small subunit ribosomal RNA", at positions 28 to 507 of the family's 1533-position model. The record is from RNAcentral.